UAAGUGAAUAGUGAAACCUGGAGGCUCAACCUCUCAGACUAUUAUUCAAACUGGCAAACUCGAGAAUGGUAGAGGUAACUGGAAUUUCUUGUGUAGGAGUGAAAUCCGUAGAUAUAAGAAGGAACACCAAUGGCGUAGGCAGGUUACUGGACCAUUUCUGACACUGAGGCACGAAAGCGUGGGGAGCGAACCGGAUUAGAUACCCGGGUAGUCCACGCCGUAAACGAUGGAUACUA
Molecule: ribosomal RNA, 236 nt
Filed under: uncultured Candidatus Saccharibacteria bacterium
Lineage: Bacteria; Candidatus Saccharimonadota
Description: partial 16S ribosomal RNA
Rfam family: Bacterial small subunit ribosomal RNA
Source: RNAcentral